RNAcentral lists this ribosomal RNA (253 nucleotides) under uncultured bacterium. RNAcentral describes it as "partial 16S ribosomal RNA". It matches the Rfam family "Bacterial small subunit ribosomal RNA", at positions 524 to 776 of the family's 1533-position model. The record is from RNAcentral.
UACGGGGGGGGCAAGCGUUGUUCGGAAUUACUGGGCGUAAAGGGCUCGUAGGUGGCCAACUAAGUCACACGUGAAAUCCCUCGGCUUAACCGGGGAACUGCGUGUGAUACUGGAUGGCUUGAGUUUGGGAGAGGGAUGCGGAAUUCCAGGUGUAGCGGUGAAAUGCGCAGAUAUCAGGAGGAACACCAGCGGCGAAGGCGGCGCUCUGGGCCGGAACUGACGCUGAGGAGCGAAAGCGUGGGUAGCAAACAGG